RNAcentral lists this ribosomal RNA (340 nucleotides) under Pseudomonas aeruginosa. RNAcentral's name for it is "partial 23S ribosomal RNA". It matches the Rfam family "Bacterial large subunit ribosomal RNA", at positions 450 to 794 of the family's 2925-position model. Lineage: Bacteria; Pseudomonadati; Pseudomonadota; Gammaproteobacteria; Pseudomonadales; Pseudomonadaceae. The record is from RNAcentral.
GGACCAUCCUCCAAGGCUAAAUACUCCUGACUGACCGAUAGUGAACCAGUACCGUGAGGGAAAGGCGAAAAGAACCCCGGCGAGGGGAGUGAAAAAGAACCUGAAACCGUGUACGUACAAGCAGUGGGAGCACCUUCGGGUGUGACUGCGUACCUUUUGUAUAAUGGGUCAGCGACUUAUAUUCUGUAGCAAGGUUAACCGUAUAGGGGAGCCGCAGGGAAACCGAGUCUUAACUGGGCGUUAAGUUGCAGGGUAUAGACCCGAAACCCGGUGAUCUAGCCAUGGGCAGGUUGAAGGUUGGGUAACACUAACUGGAGGACCGAACCGACUAAUGUUGAAA